Molecule: non-coding RNA, 87 nt
Filed under: Ectopseudomonas oleovorans
Lineage: Bacteria; Pseudomonadati; Pseudomonadota; Gammaproteobacteria; Pseudomonadales; Pseudomonadaceae
Also listed under: 2 other names
Source: RNAcentral
UUCUAUGGCGGGCCGUGUAGGGCAGGCUUUUGCCUGGCCGGUUCCCUCGGACGCCGGUUUGCUACCCCUGCACGGUCCGCCUCCCUU